Molecule: ribosomal RNA, 521 nt
Filed under: uncultured bacterium
Lineage: Bacteria
Description: bacterial SSU rRNA
Rfam family: Bacterial small subunit ribosomal RNA
Source: RNAcentral
UUGUCCGGAUUUAUUGGGCGUAAAGAGUUCGUAGGUGGUUUGUUAAGUUUGAUGUUAAAGAUCGGGGCUCAACCUCGGGACAGCAUUGAAUACUGGCAGACUUGAGUAUGGUAGAGGCUAGUGGAAUUCCCAGUGUAGCGGUGAAAUGCGUAGAUAUUGGGAAGAACACCGGUGGCGUAGGCGACUAGCUGGGCCAUAACUGACGCUGAGGAACGAAAGCCAGGGGAGCGAAAGGGAUUAGAUACCCCUGUAGUCCUGGCCGUAAACGAUGGAUACUAGGCGUAUCGGGUAUCGACCCCUGAUGUGCCGCAGCUAACGCGAUAAGUAUCCCGCCUGAGUAGUACGGCCGCAAGGUUGAAACUCAAAGGAAUUGACGGGGGCCCGCACAAGCGGUGGAACAUGUGGUUUAAUUCGAAGCAACGCGAAGAACCUUACCAGGGCUUGACAUGGUAGGAACCUUUAGGAAACUAGAGGGUGCCCGCAAGGGAGCCUACACACAGGUGGUGCAUGGCUGACGUCAG